AGCUUGCUCCCUGAUGUUAGCGGCGGACGGGUGAGUAACACGUGGGUAACCUGCCUGUAAGACUGGGAUAACUCCGGGAAACCGGGGCUAAUACCGGAUGGUUGUUUGAACCGCAUGGUUCAAACAUAAAAGGUGGCUUCGGCUACCACUUACAGAUGGACCCGCGGCGCAUUAGCUAGUUGGUGAGGUAACGGCUCACCAAGGCGACGAUGCGUAGCCGACCUGAGAGGGUGAUCGGCCACACUGGGACUGAGACACGGCCCAGACUCCUACGGGAGGCAGCAGUAGGGAAUCUUCCGCAAUGGACGAAAGUCUGACGGAGCAACGCCGCGUGAGUGAUGAAGGUUUUCGGAUCGUAAAGCUCUGUUGUUAGGGAAGAACAAGUGCCGUUCAAAUAGGGCGGCACCUUGACGGUACCUAACCAGAAAGCCACGGCUAACUACGUGCCAGCAGCCGCGGUAAUACGUAGGUGGCAAGCGUUGUCCGGAAUUAUUGGGCGUAAAGGGCUCGCAGGCGGUUUCUUAAGUCUGAUGUGAAAGCCCCCGGCUCAACCGGGGAGGGUCAUUGGAAACUGGGGAACUUGAGUGCAGAAGAGGAGAGUGGAAUUCCACGUGUAGCGGUGAAAUGCGUAGAGAUGUGGAGGAACACCAGUGGCGAAGGCGACUCUCUGUUCUGUAACUGACGCUGAGGAGCGAAAGCGUGGGGAGCGAACAGGAUUAAAUACCCUGGUAGUCCCGCCGUAAACGAUGAGUGCUAAUUGUGAGGGGGUUCCCCCCCUUAAUGCUGCAGCUUAA
This 794-nucleotide ribosomal RNA is filed under the name Bacillus amyloliquefaciens. Its description in RNAcentral is "bacterial SSU rRNA". It matches the Rfam family "Bacterial small subunit ribosomal RNA", at positions 77 to 856 of the family's 1533-position model. Lineage: Bacteria; Bacillati; Bacillota; Bacilli; Caryophanales; Bacillaceae. The record is from RNAcentral.